CAAAUGUUCUUCGUGAACAUGGCGUACUGCUCAGUAACACGUGGAUAACCUGCCCUUAGGUCUGGCAUAACCCCGGGAAACUGGGGAUAAUUCCGGAUAGAUCAUCGAUGCUGGAAUGCGCUUUGAUCCAAAGCUAUUGUGCCUAAGGAUGGGUCUGCGGUCUAUCAGGUUGUAGUGGGUGUAAUGUACCUACUAGCCUACGACGGAUACGGGUUGUGGGAGCAAGAGCCCGGAGAUGGAUUCUGAGACAUGAAUCCAGGCCCUACGGGGCGCAGCAGGCGCGAAAACUUUACAAUGCGGGGAACCGCGAUAAGGGGACACCGAGUGCCAGCAUCCUAUGUUGGCUGUCCAUAUGUCUAAAUCACAUGUGUUAGCAAGGGCCGGGCAAGACCGGUGCCAGCCGCCGCGGUAACACCGGCGGCCCGAGUGGUGGCCACUAUUAUUGGGUCUAAAGGGUCCGUAGCCGGUUUGGUCAGUCUUCCGGGAAAUCUGACGGCUCAACCGUUAGGCUUUCGGGGGAUACUACCAGGCUUGGGACCGGGAGAGGUAAGAGGUACUACGGGGGUAGGAGUGAAAUCUUGUAAUCCCUGUGGGACCACCAGUGGCGAAGGCGUCUUACCAGAACGGGUCCGACGGUGAGGGACGAAAGCUGGGGGCACGAACCGGAUUAGAUACCCGGGUAGUCCCAGCUGUAAACUAUGCUCGCUAGGUGUCAGGGACGGUGCGACCGUUUCUGGUGCCGCAGGGAAGCCGUGAAGCGAGCCACCUGGGAAGUACGGUCGCAAGGCUGAAACUUAA
This 798-nucleotide ribosomal RNA is filed under the name uncultured archaeon. RNAcentral describes it as "bacterial SSU rRNA". It matches the Rfam family "Archaeal small subunit ribosomal RNA", at positions 59 to 859 of the family's 1478-position model. The record is from RNAcentral.